GAGUAAUACAUAGGUAACCUGCCCCUGUGCGGGGGAUAACAGGAGGAAACUCCUGCUAAUACCGCAUAGCCAUGAGCACCGCAUGGAGCUCAUGCCAAAUAUCCUUUCGGGGAUAGCGCAGGGAUGGACCUAUGGCGCAUUAGCUUGUUGGCGGGACAACGGCCCACCAAGGCAACGAUGCGUAGCCGGCCUGAGAGGGCGGACGGCCACAUUGGGACUGAGACACGGCCCAGACUCCUACGGGAGGCAGCAGUAGGGAAUUUUCGGCAAUGGGGGAAACCCUGACCGAGCAACGCCGCGUGAGCGAAGAAGGCCUUCGGGUCGUAAAGCUCUGUUGUAAAGGAAGAACGGCGCAUACAGGAAAUGGUAUGCGAGUGACGGUACUUUACCAGAAAGCCACGGCUAACUACGUGCCAGCAGCCGCGGUAAUACGUAGGUGGCGAGCGUUAUCCGGAAUCAUUGGGCGUAAAGAGGGAGCAGGCGGCCGCAAGGGUCUGUGGUGAAAGACCGAAGCUAAACUUCGGUAAGCCAUGGAAACCGGGCGGCUAGAGUGCGGAAGAGGAUCGUGGAAUUCCAUGUGUAGCGGUGAAAUGCGUAGAUAUAUGGAGGAACACCAGUGGCGAAGGCGACGGUCUGGGCCGCAACUGACGCUCAUUCCCGAAAGCGUGGGGAGCAAAUAGGAUUAGAUACCCUAGUAGUCCACGCCGUAAACGAUGGUCACUAAGUGUCGGGGGUCAAACCCCGGUGCUGCAG
RNAcentral lists this ribosomal RNA (753 nucleotides) under uncultured bacterium. RNAcentral's name for it is "bacterial SSU rRNA". It matches the Rfam family "Bacterial small subunit ribosomal RNA", at positions 108 to 851 of the family's 1533-position model. The record is from RNAcentral.